ACGUAUGGGGCAAGCGUUGUUCGGAAUUAUUGGGCGUAAAGGGCGUCUAGGCGGGGGAUUAAGUUAGAUGUGAAAGCUAUGGGAUCAACCCAUAAACUGCAUCUAAGACUGGAUAUCUUGAGUUCUGGAGAGGAGAGUGGAAUUCCAGGUGUAGCGGUGAAAUGCGUAGAGAUGAGGAAGAACUCCAGUGGCGUAGGCGGUUUUCAGGCCUAUGACUCAUGCUGAAGCGCGUAUGAGUGGGGAACCAACAG
RNAcentral lists this ribosomal RNA (251 nucleotides) under uncultured prokaryote. Its description in RNAcentral is "partial 16S rRNA". It matches the Rfam family "Bacterial small subunit ribosomal RNA", at positions 525 to 775 of the family's 1533-position model. The record is from RNAcentral.